UCGUGUCCAAAACUUAUAACGUAAUCUAUCGAUAAAUGUUCUCAUCUAUCAAUAGAUAUAUUAUUUUAAGUGUGCUUGACGCUUCAUUUCUCUCAUAACGACGGUACCCAAACACCUCUCCCUCUUAAAUUCUCUCAAUUCCUUAAUAAAUUUCCCUGAUUCUAAACAUUUAAAGUGUUUUUCUCUCAAUUUUCAACAUUAAAAACACAAAUUUUUCUCAAAAAAAUAACUCCACCUCUCUUUUUUUUCG
RNAcentral lists this long non-coding RNA (250 nucleotides) under Theobroma cacao (cacao). RNAcentral describes it as "long non-coding RNA (TCAC_LNC003353)". The record is from RNAcentral. Lineage: Eukaryota; Viridiplantae; Streptophyta; Magnoliopsida; Malvales; Malvaceae.